AGCAGCCGCGGUAAUUCCAGCUCCAAUAGCGUAUAUUAAAGUUGUUGCAGUUAAAAGCUCGUAGUUGAAUUUCGGGACCAAUUUGUUGGUCGUGCCUCGGUACGUACUGGUAUUAUUGGUUCCUCCCUUCUGAAGAACCUCGAUGCCAUUAAUUUGGUGUCGUGGGGAAUCAGGACUGUUACUUUGAAAAAAAUUAGAGUGUUUAAAGCAAGCAUACGCUUGAAUACAUUAGCAUGGAAUAAUGAAAUAGGACGUUUGAUUCUAUUUUGUUGGUUUCUAGGAUCGACGUAAUGAUUAAUAGGGAUAGUUGGGGGGCAUUAGUAUUCAAUUGUCAGAGGUGAAAUUCUUGGAUUUAUUGAAGACUAACUACUGCGAAAGCAUUUGCCAAGGAUGUUUUCAUUAAUCAAGAACGAAAGUUAGGGGAUCGAAGACGAUCAGAUACCGUCGUAGUCUUAACCAUAAACUAUGCCGACUAGGGAUCGGAUGAUGUUAAUUUUUUUAAUGACUCAUUCGGCGCCUU
This 520-nucleotide unclassified non-coding RNA is filed under the name uncultured Glomus. RNAcentral's name for it is "SSU rRNA". It matches the Rfam family "Eukaryotic small subunit ribosomal RNA", at positions 569 to 1089 of the family's 1831-position model. The record is from RNAcentral. Lineage: Eukaryota; Fungi; Glomeromycota; Glomeromycetes; Glomerales; Glomeraceae.